CUUGACUAGGUUUGGUCAUUCCAGAUCUACCUUCUCACUCUUGACUCUCCCUCUCCCUUUCUCUCUCACUCUCACGCCUCCACCCUUACCGCCACCACGACGCCUCACUCUCCCUCUCCCUUUAUCUCUGAAACCCAGCCCCCACCGCCACUUCUCACUCUCACGCCUUUUCCACCACCGCGACGCCUCCACUGCCAUCACGAUGCCUCCACUGUGAUGCCUCACCAGCCGCCGACUCUCACUCUCACUCUCUCUCUCUCAGAUCGGCCGAGACCAUAGGCUUAAAGAAGAAGAAGAAGAGAAGUGGUUGCCACAGCCGCCAGUCCCUGAAGAUGGAUUAGAUUCUGUGGGAAGUAAACUGGAGUUAGAUGAGGGGGAGCCUGGGGAUAUAGUUGACGGUCCUGAUACGUCCUCAUUUAUUGCAUUCCACACAAAUGGAGUUAUGGAAAUGGAGUUAUCAUACAAAUUUAAGGAUUUAAUCGUUCUGUGUUGUGAUACCUGCACCCGUGUAAAUUGAGAAAUGGAUUUUAUUGCCGGGCAGUGGAGAAUCAACCAGCUCAAUCCGCUAUUACUCUCAACCAACGCCCAAACAAGAAGAAAGUUUUGGGUUGGGCAGGUCUUGGAGCUGCUCAUCACCUCUGUAAACAAGAGGAUUUUAGUGCUUUGACGUGAUGGUGAUUGAAGGCGGAUAUGAAUUUGGACCCAAGAACAAGCCUCUUAGUCCAGACGAUAUUGGUAGAUCAAUUAAGAAGCAAGUGAUAAGGAAACUCUUGUGGAAACUUAUGAAGACACAUGAAAAGAAGGGGAAGGAGAACAUAUUUUGUUAUUUUAUUUCUUUCAUUGUUUGUAUAAGAAAAACAACUUUCAUUAUUA
This is a long non-coding RNA of Ipomoea triloba (trilobed morning glory), 873 nucleotides long. RefSeq lists it as uncharacterized. Lineage: Eukaryota; Viridiplantae; Streptophyta; Magnoliopsida; Solanales; Convolvulaceae. The record is from RefSeq and is a predicted model, not a curated record. The transcript has 6 exons.